CAGGAGAUGUUCCUCUGUGAUUUUGACCAUUGAUUUAUUCGUAUGAUCCUCCAACACUGUGGCACUCAAAAGAGAUCAAGUUGGGUGAUUGACAAGAGAUUUUGGAAUAUAAGCAAGUGACAUGAGGCCCUUUAGGGUCUAUUACAAGAUCAGGCUCUCUCCAACUAAUUUUUCUAUUCAUUAGAACCGAUAAACUUGUAUUUUGAGCAAAGAAGGAGAAAAGAAGUAAAAGAGGGAUUGAAAGGUGAAAUCGGCAAAUCUGCCUGUGUAGAUCAGUCAACUUCGACAGAUCACUGAGACCAGCUCACAACGAUCCAGAGGAUGAUCUUUAUAUUGAUGGAAAGCCUUGGAUGUCUAGUUUCCAGAUCUUUUUAUAGCUCAUCAAUAUAAUUUUUCUAGAAGAAGUUAUGGCUGAUUUAGUACAAGAAAGUCAGACUGCACGUGAAUCUGAGGUUGGACAAAAAUUUAUGUUUCAAAGCCCAAAUCACACCGAGAAGCCCGAUGACGAGUUUGUGCUUCAUAUUUCAGCUUAAUAUGGACAAAUGACGUGAUGUGAAUGGUUGGAAUACGUCAUCAAGUUCAAGAGCCAAUAGCACGUGAACCCUAAUUCUUUUA
RNAcentral lists this long non-coding RNA (615 nucleotides) under Rosa chinensis. Its description in RNAcentral is "sRNA RchiOBHm_Chr1g0324831". The record is from RNAcentral. Lineage: Eukaryota; Viridiplantae; Streptophyta; Magnoliopsida; Rosales; Rosaceae.